Canis lupus familiaris (dog) is the source of this 91-nucleotide non-coding RNA. The record is from Rfam. NCBI's taxonomy places the organism in Eukaryota, Metazoa, Chordata, Mammalia, Carnivora, Canidae.
GGAGGGAGGUCGGAUCCUGGGCUGUGUCCCCGGCGCCCUGUGCUCCCGGGCCUGCGCUGUUGGAUUCGCGCUCCCGGUGGCGCAGCCCCCU